Molecule: ribosomal RNA, 253 nt
Filed under: uncultured bacterium
Lineage: Bacteria
Description: partial 16S ribosomal RNA
Rfam family: Bacterial small subunit ribosomal RNA
Source: RNAcentral
UACGGGGGGGGCAAGCGUUGUUCGGAAUUACUGGGCGUAAAGGGCUCGUAGGUGGCCAACUAAGUCAGACGUGAAAUCCCUCGGCUUAACCGGGGAACUGCGUCUGAUACUGGAUGGCUUGAGUUCGGGAGAGGGAUGCGGAAUUCCAGGUGUAGCGGUGAAAUGCGUAGAUAUCUGGAGGAACACCGGUGGCGAAGGCGGCAUCCUGGACCGACACUGACACUGAGGAGCGAAAGCCAGGGGAGCAAACGAG